CGGAGAGACUGCUCUGUGUGCAGGGUGGCCCCAGGACAGGAGCGAGGCCUGCAUGGCUGAGAAAAAAAAUGCUCCAGCUCUGCUGCAGAUCUGGGAGAGAGAGCAACUGUUCUCUGAAUUCCCUUUUGAGAGAGGAACCUUGUGAUUUCACUCUUUUGUAAAGUAAAUCUUCGUCAGAUUAAAUAUGAAGAUCCCUAUCAGAAGGCACUUGGCUUUGACGAGCCUGACAGAGUCCUAUGUAUCCUAUGUGCCUACAAUACGUGGGGGCUUGGGAGAGCUGGCAGAACCUGAUCCUUUUUGCUGGUGCGAAUCCUGGUGAAGCCACCUUUAAUUCCGAACUGCUAGCUCAGCUU
RNAcentral lists this long non-coding RNA (353 nucleotides) under Anser brachyrhynchus (Pink-footed goose). RNAcentral describes it as "lncRNA (ENSABRG00000018935.1)". The record is from RNAcentral. Lineage: Eukaryota; Metazoa; Chordata; Aves; Anseriformes; Anatidae.